Molecule: small RNA, 141 nt
Filed under: Pantoea sp. PNA 03-3
Lineage: Bacteria; Pseudomonadati; Pseudomonadota; Gammaproteobacteria; Enterobacterales; Erwiniaceae
Also listed under: 1 other name
Source: RNAcentral
GUAUAAAAAAAGACCGAACACUAUUCCAGGUAUUCGGUCCAGGGAAAGGGCUCUCAAGGAGCCGUGCGCUAAAAGUUGGCAUUCGUUCAGGCUUUCGCCUUGCCUGUAAAGCGUAGGCCAAGACAGGAGAUUUUCCAGCCA